Molecule: transfer RNA, 71 nt
Filed under: Dipodomys ordii (Ord's kangaroo rat)
Lineage: Eukaryota; Metazoa; Chordata; Mammalia; Rodentia; Heteromyidae
Rfam family: tRNA
About the family: Transfer RNA (tRNA) molecules are approximately 80 nucleotides in length. Their secondary structure includes four short double-helical elements and three loops (D, anti-codon, and T loops). Further hydrogen bonds mediate the characteristic L-shaped molecular structure. tRNAs have two regions of fundamental functional importance: the anti-codon, which is responsible for specific mRNA codon recognition, and the 3' end, to which the tRNAs corresponding amino acid is attached (by aminoacyl-tRNA synthetases). tRNAs cope with the degeneracy of the genetic code in two manners: having more than one tRNA (with a specific anti-codon) for a particular amino acid; and 'wobble' base-pairing, i.e. permitting non-standard base-pairing at the 3rd anti-codon position.
Source: Rfam by way of RNAcentral
GGGAUGUUAUCUCAGUGGUGGAGUACCUGCCUUCCAGGCUUGUGGCACUGGGUUGGAUUCCCAGAAUCCCA